Molecule: ribosomal RNA, 491 nt
Filed under: uncultured bacterium
Lineage: Bacteria
Description: partial 16S ribosomal RNA
Rfam family: Bacterial small subunit ribosomal RNA
Source: RNAcentral
GUGAACGCUGGCGGUAGGCCUAACACAUGCAAGUCGCACGGCAGCACAGUAAGAGCUUGCUCUUACGGGUGGCGAGUGGCGGACGGGUGAGGAAUACAUCGGAAUCUACUUUUUCGUGGGGGAUAACGUAGGGAAACUUACGCUAAUACCGCAUACGACCUACGGGUGAAAGCAGGGGAUCUUCGGACCUUGCGCGAUUGAAUGAGCCGAUGUCGGAUUAGCUAGUUGGCGGGGUAAAGGCCCACCAAGGCGACGAUCCGUAGCUGGUCUGAGAGGAUGAUCAGCCACACUGGAACUGAGACACGGUCCAGACUCCUACGGGAGGCAGCAGUGGGGAAUAUUGGACAAUGAGCGCAAGCCUGAUCCAGCCAUACCGCGUGGGUGAAGAAGGCCUUCGGGUUGUAAAGCCCUUUUGUUGGGAAAGAAAAGCAGCAGGUUAAUACCCCGCUGUUCUGACGGUACCCAAAGAAUAAGCACCGGCUAACUUCGUG